GUUCUGGUACGCUUGUACCAGAACGUGCGCGGGACGGCGGGGACUGCCACCCGGCGCGCACGC
RNAcentral lists this non-coding RNA (63 nucleotides) under unclassified sequences. The record is from RNAcentral.